RNAcentral lists this ribosomal RNA (465 nucleotides) under uncultured bacterium. RNAcentral's name for it is "partial 16S ribosomal RNA". It matches the Rfam family "Bacterial small subunit ribosomal RNA", at positions 28 to 507 of the family's 1533-position model. The record is from RNAcentral.
GACGAACGCUGGCGGCGUGCUCAACACAUGCAAGUCGAACGGAAAGGCCCUGCUUGCAGGGUCCUCGAGUGGCGAACGGGUGAGUAACACGUGGGUGAUCUGCCCUGCACUUCGGGAUAAGCCUGGGAAACUGGGUCUAAUACCGGAUAGGAGCCAUUUUUAGUGUGAUGGUUGGAAAGUUUUUUCGGUGUAGGAUGAGCUCGCGGCCUAUCAGCUUGUUGGUGGGGUAAUGGCCUACCAAGGCGGCGACGGGUAGCCGGCCUGAGAGGGUGGACGGCCACAUUGGGACUGAGAUACGGCCCAGACUCCUACGGGAGGCAGCAGUGGGGAAUAUUGCACAAUGGGCGCAAGCCUGAUGCAGCGACGCCGCGUGGGGGAUGACGGCCUUCGGGUUGUAAACUCCUUUCGCUAGGGACGAAGCUUUUUGUGACGGUACCUAGAUAAGAAGCACCGGCUAACUACGUG